UGCCAGCUAGAAACGGAAUGUAAAUUACCA
RNAcentral lists this non-coding RNA (30 nucleotides) under Mus musculus (house mouse). The record is from RNAcentral. Lineage: Eukaryota; Metazoa; Chordata; Mammalia; Rodentia; Muridae.